RNAcentral lists this ribosomal RNA (253 nucleotides) under uncultured bacterium. Its description in RNAcentral is "partial 16S ribosomal RNA". It matches the Rfam family "Bacterial small subunit ribosomal RNA", at positions 524 to 774 of the family's 1533-position model. The record is from RNAcentral.
UACGAAGGGGGCUAGCGUUGUUCGGAAUCACUGGGCGUAAAGCGCACGCAGGCGGAUCGUUAAGUCAGGGGUGAAAUGCCGAGGCUCAACCUCGGAACUGCCUUUGAUACUGGCGAUCUUAGAGUCCGGGAGAGGUGAGUGGAACUCCGAGUGUAGAGGUGAAAUUCGUAGAUAUUCGGAAGAACACCAGUGGCGAAGGCGGCUCACUGGCCCGGUACUGACGCUCAGGUGCGAAAAGCGUGGGGAGCAAACA